Molecule: ribosomal RNA, 298 nt
Filed under: uncultured Pseudomonas sp.
Lineage: Bacteria; Pseudomonadati; Pseudomonadota; Gammaproteobacteria; Pseudomonadales; Pseudomonadaceae
Description: partial 16S ribosomal RNA
Rfam family: Bacterial small subunit ribosomal RNA
Source: RNAcentral
CCGUAACGAGCGCAACCCUUGUCCUUAGUUACCAGGCACGUUAUGGUGGGCACUCUAAGGAGACUGCCGGUGACAAACCGGAGGAAGGUGGGGAUGACGUCAAGUCAUCAUGGCCCUUACGGCCUGGGCUACACACGUGCUACAAUGGUCGGUACAAAGGGUUGCCAAGCCGCGAGGUGGAGCUAAUCCCAUAAAACCGAUCGUAGUCCGGAUCGCAGUCUGCAACUCGACUGCGUGAAGUCGGAAUCGCUAGUAAUCGUGAAUCAGAAUGUCCACGGUCGAAUACGUUCCGGGCCUU